Molecule: long non-coding RNA, 416 nt
Organism: Ornithodoros turicata
Lineage: Eukaryota; Metazoa; Arthropoda; Arachnida; Ixodida; Argasidae
Exons: 3
Source: RefSeq, a predicted model, not a curated record
CACGCGUAGGCGGUUUCGCCCGCUGUUUUUGCUCGUGUGUGUGUUUCUUGUCCUGCGGCAUCAUGAGCGACGACAGAUCACAUAUGUCGUUCGCAAUAGUUCAUUUCCUUGACCGUGACGAGGUGGGGAUUGUACCAGUUUCUUGGAUCCAUGGAAACACUUGCAAGUGGCCAAACCUGCCCACUCACAUCGUUGAUAAGAAAGUAAAGAAAGGAUUGCCUCCUGGUGAAGAUUCUGACGACAUCGAAAUUCAAGUUAAAGGGCUAUUCAUGAGCUGGGGAGAAGCACGCAAGAUGCUGCCCGCUGCAGAAUAUCAUUCGGACUUGAACGAGAGCAGAUUGCCCCCCAAGCGAAUCAGGCGUCCAAGAAUGGUGUACAGUGAUGAGGAUGACGACUAUGAUUUUCCGCCUGUCCCA